Molecule: ribosomal RNA, 2258 nt
Filed under: human metagenome
Description: bacterial LSU rRNA
Rfam family: Bacterial large subunit ribosomal RNA
Source: RNAcentral
AGGGCGUAUGGGGAAUGCCUAGGCUCUUGGAGGCGAAGAAAGACGUGGUAAGCUGCGAAAAGCUCCGGGGAUUUGCAAACAAGAUUUGAUCCGGAGAUUUCUGAAUGGGACAACCCGUCAGGUAGAAGACCUGACACAUCGUAAGAUGGGCCAACCCUCUGAACUGAAACAUCUUAGUAGGAGGAGGAAAAGAAAGAAACAUCGAUUUCCUGAGUAGCGGCGAGCGAAAGGGAAAAAGCCUAAACCGGUAUUGUUACGGCAAUGCCGGGGUUGUAGGACUGCAACAUUCAAGUAACAAUGAACUGGAACGAUCUGGAAAGUUCGUCCAUAGAGGGUGAAAGGCCCGUACAGGUAAGUUCGUUAUGCGAUAGCAGUAUCCUGAGUAGGGCGGGACACGAGGAAUCCUGUCUGAAUCUGCCGGGACCACCCGGUAAGGCUAAAUACUCCCAAGAGACCGAUAGUGAACCAGUACCGUGAGGGAAAGGUGAAAAGAACCCCGAACAGGGGAGUGAAAUAGAACCUGAAACCAUACGCUUACAACCGGUCGGAGCAGCUUCGUGCUGUGACGGCGUGCCUAUUGAAUAAUGAGCCUACGAGUUACUAAUCACUAGCGAGGUUAAGUGCAAGGAUGCACGGAGCCGAAGCGAAAGCGAGUCUGAACAGGGCGUUUAGUUAGUGGUUGUAGACGCGAAACCUUGCGAUCUACCCUUGAGCAGGUUGAAGGUUGGGUAAAACCAACUGGAGGACCGAACGAAUAAGCGUUGAAAAGCUUCUCGAUGACUUGAGGGUAGGGGUGAAAGGCUAAUCAAGCUGGGAAAUAGCUCGUACUCCCCGAAAUGCCUUUUGGGGCAGCGUUGUAAUAAAGAGUCUACUGGAGGUAGAGCUACUGAUUGGAUGCGGGGGCUUCACCGCCUACCAAAUCCUGACAAACUCCGAAUGCCAGUAGUAUGAUUUACAGCAGUGAGUGACUGGGUGCUAAUGUCCAGUCGCAAAAGAGGAACAACUCAGACCAGCAACUAAGGUCCCGAAGAAUAUGCUAAGUUGAUCUAACGAUGUUUUGUUGCAGAGACAGCUAGGAUGUUAGCUUGGAAGCAGCUAUUCAUUCAAAGAGUGCGUAACAGCUCACUAGUCGAGCGACAGAGCGUGGAUAAUAAACGGGCAUCAAGCAUAUCACCGAAGUUCUGGGCGCGAGAGCGCGGUAGGGGAGCAUUCCAUUCAGCGUCGAAGCAGUUUCGUGAGGAAUUGUGGAGCGUAUGGAAAAGCAAAUGUAGGCAUGAGUAACGAUAAUGCGGGAGAGUAACCCGCACACCGCAAGACCAAGGUUUCCUGAUCAACGCUAAUCGGAUCAGGGUUAGUCGGGUCCUAAGGGUAAGCCGAACGGCGAUCUCGAUGGAUAAUCGGUUAAUAUUCCGAUACUAACAUAUACCUCGAUGGAGAGACGAAGGAACGUAAGUGCCGCCACCUGACGGAAUAGGUGGUUAAAGGGCGUAGGUAUAGGGGCAGAUUAAGAGUUAGUCCUUGCUGAAACCUGACAGUACAGAGAGCCUACGGGCAAUUUGAUAGAGCACCCAAGUCGACUUCCGAGAAAAUCUUCUAAGUUAUAGUAUAUGUUACCCGUACCGUAAACCGACACAGGUGGUCGAGGAGAGUAUCCUAAGGUGCUCGAGUGAAUCACGGUUAAGGAACUAGGCAAAUUAACCCCGUAACUUCGGGAAAAGGGGUCCCUAUGAAAGUAGGGCGCAGCGAAGAGGUCCAGGCGACUGUUUAUCAAAAACACAGGGCUCUGCAAAUUCGAAAGAAGACGUAUAGGGCCUGACACCUGCCCGGUGCUGGAAGGUUAAGAGGGGAUGUCAUCGCAAGAGAAGCAUUGAAUCGAAGCCCCAGUAAACGGCGGCCGUAACUAUAACGGUCCUAAGGUAGCGAAAUUCCUUGUCGGGUAAGUUCCGACCUGCACGAAUGGUGUAACGAUCUGGACACUGUCUCAACCGUGAGCUCGGUGAAAUUGUAGUCCCGGUGAUGAUGCCGGGUACCCGCAACGGGACGAAAAGACCCCGUGAACCUUUACUAUAGCUUAACGCUGAAUUUGGGUACACAAUGUGUAGGAUAGGCCGGAGGCUUUGAAGCGGGCACGCCAGUGUUCGUGGAGCCGACGUUGAAAUACGGCCCUUUGUGUAUUUGAGUUCUAACCCUGCGAAGGGGACACCGUUUGGUGGGUAGUUUGACUGGGGUGGUCGCCUCCAAAAGCGUAACGGAGGCUU